Molecule: long non-coding RNA, 361 nt
Filed under: Brassica napus (rape)
Lineage: Eukaryota; Viridiplantae; Streptophyta; Magnoliopsida; Brassicales; Brassicaceae
Description: long non-coding RNA (BNAP_LNC001147)
Source: RNAcentral
AAAAAUGUACCCGCCUAGAAACACACGAAAACUCUAGUUCCAUACAAAAUUCAACCAUUUGAAGGUCCUCCUGGUAACAUGAAAAGCACUGCUGGACCACGUGCAAACGGAUUUCGUCGCGAUCAACAAAAAGAAUCACCACUAGAUUUAACUGGCCAGCAUCAACGGAGCUGCUUGUCGUGACUGGACUAACAUGACAUAACUGAAACUUGUAACUUCCCGGGGAGAUACAAACUUCGAGGACCAAAAAAAGUACUCAGAAAUCUAUAUGUAGGAUGAAAGAAACUAGGAAUCCUCCUGCGCGGGCAAGGAGUGCCAGCCACAGGAAGGACUACAAUCAGAAAACAAAGGGCUUUGCGGC